Molecule: ribosomal RNA, 488 nt
Filed under: uncultured bacterium
Lineage: Bacteria
Description: partial 16S ribosomal RNA
Rfam family: Bacterial small subunit ribosomal RNA
Source: RNAcentral
ACUCAAAUGAAUAGACGGGGACUCGCACAAGCGGUGGAUUAUGCGGCUUAAUUCGUCGACAAACGAAGAACCUUACCAAGGUUAGAAAUCCAGCUGCAUCCUUGAUGAAAGUCGAGGAGCCUUCGAGGGUGCUGGACAGGUGAUGCAUGGUCGUCGUCAGUUCGUGGUUUGAACUGUUCCCUUCAGUGGGGUAACGAACGCAACCCCUGUUGCCUGUUGCCUAUAUGGUCAGGCGAGACUGCUCCCUCACGGGAGAGGAAGGUAGGGAUGACGCCAGAUCAGCAUGUCCCUCUGAUACCUUGGGCUGCACGCAUAAUACAAUGGGCGGUACAGCGGGAAGCAAUAUCGCAAGAUGGAGCAAAUCCCCCAAAACCGCCCCCAGUACGGAUUGAGGUCUGCAACCGACCUCAUGAAGCCGGAAUCGCUAGUAAUCCCGGGUCAGCCAAACCGGGGUGAAUACGUUCUCGAGUCUUGUACACACCGCCCGU